Molecule: ribosomal RNA, 253 nt
Filed under: uncultured bacterium
Lineage: Bacteria
Description: partial 16S ribosomal RNA
Rfam family: Bacterial small subunit ribosomal RNA
Source: RNAcentral
UACGUAGGGUGCAAGCGUUAAUCGGAAUUACUGGGCGUAAAGCGUGCGCAGGCGGUUAUGCAAUACAGAUGUGCAAUCCCCGGGCUCACCCUGGGAACUGCAUUUGUGACUGCAUAGCUAGAGUACGGUAGAGGGGGAUGGAAUUCCGCGUGUAGCAGUGAAAUGCGUAGAUAUGCGGAGGAACACCGAUGGCGAAGGCAAUCCCCUGGACCUGUACUGACGCUCAUGCACGAAAGCGUGGGGAGCAAACAGG